CUACGGGGUGCUGCAGUCGAGGAAAUUUUACAAUGCUCGCAAGAGUGAUAGAAUAAACCAGAGUGUUUCUCCUAGAGAAACUUUUGUCAACUGUAAAAAGGUUGACGAAUAAGGACUGGGCAAGACCGGUGCCAUCCGCCGCGGUAAUACCGGCGGUCCAAGUCGUAUCCACAUUUAUUGGGUCUAAAACAUUCGUAGCUUGUUUUGUAAGUUUCUUGUGAAAUCUGAUACCUCAAGUAUCAGGCGUGCAAGAAAUACUACAUUACUAGAGACCGGAAGAUGCAAAGAGUAUGAUUGAGGUAGCGGUAAAAUGUGUUAAUCUCAAUCAGAAUAACAAUGGCGAAGGCACUUUGCAAGUACGGUUCUGACAGUGAGGAAUGAAGGCUAGGGGCGCAAAACGGAUUAGAUACCCGGGUAGUC
RNAcentral lists this ribosomal RNA (420 nucleotides) under uncultured archaeon. RNAcentral describes it as "partial 16S ribosomal RNA". It matches the Rfam family "Archaeal small subunit ribosomal RNA", at positions 323 to 746 of the family's 1478-position model. The record is from RNAcentral.